AAAAACAUUUCCUUUAGUAUAUAUUUAAAGGUAUUACCUGCUCAAUGUAAUUUAUUAAUAGCUGCGGUAUCUUAACUGCACUAAGGUAGCGUAAUUAAUUGUCUUUUAAAUGGUGACUUGUUUGAAUGGUUUUAUGAGAAAAGAACUUUCUUUGGUUUAAAAAGAAUUUAUAUUUUUAGGUUAAAAUACCUAAUUUAUAAAGAAAGACGAGAAGACCCUGCUGAGUUUAACAAUUAUAUUCUAAUUGUUUGAAUGGGAAAUUUAAUUUUUUAAUAAAAUUUUUUUGAUCCUGGAAGUAUAUUCUGGAAAAAGGAUAAAAUUACCACAGGGAUAACAGGACUAUAUCUUCUAAGAGUCCAAAUUGAAGAAGGUGUUUGUUACCUCGAUGUUGAAUCGAAAUAACUUUUUAGUGCAGCAGCUAAAUAAGUAGGUCUGUUCGACCUUUAAAAUUUCACG
Molecule: ribosomal RNA, 456 nt
Filed under: Acotylea sp. WtP 2
Lineage: Eukaryota; Metazoa; Platyhelminthes; Polycladida
Description: partial large subunit ribosomal RNA
Rfam family: Bacterial large subunit ribosomal RNA
Source: RNAcentral